RNAcentral lists this ribosomal RNA (483 nucleotides) under uncultured bacterium. RNAcentral describes it as "partial 16S ribosomal RNA". It matches the Rfam family "Bacterial small subunit ribosomal RNA", at positions 30 to 507 of the family's 1533-position model. The record is from RNAcentral.
UUGAACGCUGGCGGCAUGCCUUACACAUGCAAGUCGAACGGUAACGGGUCCUUCGGGAUGCCGACGAGUGGCGAACGGGUGAGUAAUAUAUCGGAACGUGCCCAGUAGUGGGGGAUAACUGCUCGAAAGAGCAGCUAAUACCGCAUACGACCUGAGGGUGAAAGGGGGGGAUCGCAAGACCUCUCGCUAUUGGAGCGGCCGAUAUCAGAUUAGCUAGUUGGUGGGGUAAAGGCCUACCAAGGCAACGAUCUGUAGUUGGUCUGAGAGGACGACCAGCCACACUGGGACUGAGACACGGCCCAGACUCCUACGGGAGGCAGCAGUGGGGAAUUUUGGACAAUGGGCGCAAGCCUGAUCCAGCAAUGCCGCGUGCAGGAAGAAGGCCUUCGGGUUGUAAACUGCUUUUGUCAGGGAAGAAAUCUUCUGGGCUAAUACCCCGGGAGGAUGACGGUACCUGAAGAAUAAGCACCGGCUAACUACGUG